This 265-nucleotide ribosomal RNA is filed under the name Pezizales sp. B48. RNAcentral describes it as "partial 28S ribosomal RNA". It matches the Rfam family "Eukaryotic large subunit ribosomal RNA", at positions 1 to 261 of the family's 3401-position model. The record is from RNAcentral. Lineage: Eukaryota; Fungi; Ascomycota; Pezizomycetes; Pezizales.
UUGAGCUCGGAUCAGGUAGGGAUACCCGCUGAACUUAAGCAUAUCAAUAAGCGGAGGAAAAGAAACCAACAGGGAUUGCCUCAGUAACGGCGAGUGAAGCGGCAACAGCUCAAAUUUUAAAGCUGGUGCCUAUGGCGCCCGCGUUGUAAUUUGGAGAGGCACCUUCGGUUAGGGCGCCAGCCUAUGUUCCUUGGAACAGGACGUCACAGAGGGUGAGAAUCCCGUGCUUGGCUGGCUGUCCCUUUCCAUGUGAAGCGCCUUCGAC